This 492-nucleotide ribosomal RNA is filed under the name uncultured bacterium. RNAcentral's name for it is "partial 16S ribosomal RNA". It matches the Rfam family "Bacterial small subunit ribosomal RNA", at positions 30 to 507 of the family's 1533-position model. The record is from RNAcentral.
AGUGAACGCUGGCGGUAGGCUUAACACAUGCAAGUCGAACGGUAACACAGUAAGGGGUGGCUCCUAGGGGUGGAGGGGGGCGGAAGGGAGAGGAAUAUAUCGGGAGCUAGUGUAUAAUGGAGCGAAAGGUAGGGAAAUACAGGAUGAGACCGGAGGAGAAAAACGGGGGAAAGAAGAGGAAUGUUGGACCUUGCGCGUUUGGAGGGGCCGAUGUCGGAUUAGCUAGUUGGUGGGGUAAAGGCCUACCAAGGCGACGAUCCGUAGCUGGUCUGAGAGGAUGACCAGCCACACUGGAACUGAGACACGGCCCAGACUCCUACGGGAGGCAGCAGUGGGGAAUUUUGGACAAUGGGCGCAAGCCUGAUCCAGCCAUGCCGCGUGCGUGAAGAAGGCCUUCGGGUUGUAAAGCCCUUUUGUUAGGAAAGAAACGCUGUACGCUAAUACCCCGCUCUUCUGACGGUACCCGCAGAAUAAGCACCGGCUAACUUCGUG